RNAcentral lists this ribosomal RNA (1813 nucleotides) under Acinetobacter baumannii. Its description in RNAcentral is "bacterial LSU rRNA". It matches the Rfam family "Bacterial large subunit ribosomal RNA", at positions 1150 to 2925 of the family's 2925-position model. The record is from RNAcentral. Lineage: Bacteria; Pseudomonadati; Pseudomonadota; Gammaproteobacteria; Moraxellales; Moraxellaceae.
CGAGUCGGCCUGCGCGGAAGAUGUAACGGGGCUAAAACUAUGUGCCGAAGCUGCGGAUGUAUACUUUGUAUACGUGGUAGGGGAGCGUUCUGUAAGCCGAUGAAGGUGUGUUGAGAAGCAUGCUGGAGGUAUCAGAAGUGCGAAUGCUGACGUGAGUAACGACAAAACGGGUGAAAAACCCGUUCGCCGAAAGACCAAGGGUUCCAGUCCAACGUUAAUCGGGGCUGGGUGAGUCGACCCCUAAGGCGAGGCCGAAAGGCGUAGUCGAUGGGAAAAUGGUUAAUAUUCCAUUACUUCUGUGUAAUGCGAUGAGAGGACGGAGAAGGCUAAAUCAGCCUGGCGUUGGUUGUCCAGGUGAAAGGAUGUAGGCAUGUAUCUUAGGCAAAUCCGGGGUACUCUAUGCUGAGAUCUGAUAGCAAGCUGUACUUGUACAGCGAAGUGGUUGAUGCCAUGCUUCCAGGAAAAGUCUCUAAGCUUCAGUUACACAGGAAUCGUACCCGAAACCGACACAGGUGGUCAGGUCGAGUAGACCAAGGCGCUUGAGAGAACUCUGCUGAAGGAACUAGGCAAAAUGGUACCGUAACUUCGGGAGAAGGUACGCUGUUGUUGGUGAUGGAACUCGCUUCCUGAGCUGACGACAGCCGCAGAAACCAGGCCGCUGCAACUGUUUAUUAAAAACAUAGCACUCUGCAAACACGAAAGUGGACGUAUAGGGUGUGAUGCCUGCCCGGUGCUGGAAGGUUAAUUGAUGGGGUUAGCGUAAGCGAAGCUCUUGAUCGAAGCCCCAGUAAACGGCGGCCGUAACUAUAACGGUCCUAAGGUAGCGAAAUUCCUUGUCGGGUAAGUUCCGACCUGCACGAAUGGCAUAAUGAUGGCGGCGCUGUCUCCAGCAGAGGCUCAGUGAAAUCGAAAUCGCUGUGAAGAUGCAGUGUACCCGCGGCUAGACGGAAAGACCCCGUGAACCUUUACUGCAGCUUGACACUGAACUUUGACCUUACUUGUGUAGGAUAGGUGGGAGGCUUUGAAGCUGGAACGCUAGUUCCAGUGGAGCCGUCCUUGAAAUACCACCCUGGUAAUGUUGAGGUUCUAACUCUGUCCCGUGAUCCGGGACGAGGACCGUGUCUGGUGGGUAGUUUGACUGGGGCGGUCUCCUCCUAAAGAGUAACGGAGGAGUACGAAGGUGCGCUCAGCGUGGUCGGAAAUCACGCGUAGAGUAUAAAGGCAAAAGCGCGCUUAACUGCGAGACCCACAAGUCGAGCAGGUACGAAAGUAGGUCUUAGUGAUCCGGUGGUUCUGUAUGGAAGGGCCAUCGCUCAACGGAUAAAAGGUACUCUGGGGAUAACAGGCUGAUACCGCCCAAGAGUUCAUAUCGACGGCGGUGUUUGGCACCUCGAUGUCGGCUCAUCUCAUCCUGGGGCUGAAGCAGGUCCCAAGGGUAUGGCUGUUCGCCAUUUAAAGAGGUACGCGAGCUGGGUUUAGAACGUCGUGAGACAGUUCGGUCCCUAUCUACCGUGGGCGCUGGAAAUUUGAGAGGAUCUGCUCCUAGUACGAGAGGACCAGAGUGGACGAACCUCUGGUGUACCGGUUGUGACGCCAGUCGCAUCGCCGGGUAGCUAUGUUCGGAAGGGAUAACCGCUGAAAGCAUCUAAGCGGGAAGCCUACCUCAAGAUAAGAUUUCCCUAGGACUUUAUGUCCUCUAAAGAGCCGUUCGAGACUAGGACGUUGAUAGGUUGGAUGUGGAAGCAUAGUGAUAUGUGAAGCUGACCAAUACUAAUUGCUCGUGAGGCUUGACUAUACAACACCCAAGCAGUUG